Molecule: ribosomal RNA, 625 nt
Filed under: Pseudomonas sp. MBRG 4.7
Lineage: Bacteria; Pseudomonadati; Pseudomonadota; Gammaproteobacteria; Pseudomonadales; Pseudomonadaceae
Description: partial 16S ribosomal RNA
Source: RNAcentral
GUCGCCUUCGCCACUGGUGUUCCUUCCUAUAUCUACGCAUUUCACCGCUACACAGGAAAUUCCACCACCCUCUACCGUACUCUAGUCAGGCAGUUAUGGAUGCAGUUCCCAGGUUGAGCCCGGGGAUUUCACAUCCAUCUUACCAAACCACCUACGCGCGCUUUACGCCCAGUAAUUCCGAUUAACGCUUGCACCCUUCGUAUUACCGCGGCUGCUGGCACGAAGUUAGCCGGUGCUUAUUCUGUUGGUAACGUCAAAACAGCAAGGUAUUAACUUACUGCCCUUCCUCCCAACUUAAAGUGCUUUACAAUCCGAAGACCUUCUUCACACACGCGGCAUGGCUGGAUCAGGCUUUCGCCCAUUGUCCAAUAUUCCCCACUGCUGCCUCCCGUAGGAGUCUGGACCGUGUCUCAGUUCCAGUGUGACUGAUCAUCCUCUCAGACCAGUUACGGAUCGUCGCCUUGGUAGGCCUUUACCCCACCAACUAGCUAAUCCGACCUAGGCUCAUNUGAUAGCGCAAGGCCCGAAGGUCCCCUGCUUUCUCCCGUANGACGUAUGCNGNAUUAGCGUUCCUUUNAAANGUNGNNCNNCACUACCANGCAGAUNCCUAGGCAUUACUACCCNU